This 328-nucleotide ribosomal RNA is filed under the name uncultured eukaryote. RNAcentral's name for it is "partial 18S ribosomal RNA". It matches the Rfam family "Eukaryotic small subunit ribosomal RNA", at positions 1470 to 1796 of the family's 1831-position model. The record is from RNAcentral.
CCCUUAGAUGUUCUGGGCCGCACGCGCGCUACACUGAUGCAUUCAACGAGUCUAAAACCUGGUCUGAUAGGGCUGGGUAAUCUUUUGAAAGUGCAUCGUGAUUGGGAUAGAUGAUUGCAAUUCUUCAUCUUCAACGAGGAAUGCCUAGUAAACGCAAGUCAUCAGCUUGCAUUGAUUACGUCCCUGCCCUUUGUACACACCGCCCGUCGCUCCUACCGAUUGAGUGGUCCGGUGAGGCUUUGGGAUCUGAGCAAAGAGAGCGUUUCGCUCGUUUUGCCCGGAAAACUCAGUCGAACCUUAUCAUUUAGAGGAAGGAGAAGUCGUAACA